This 84-nucleotide transfer RNA is filed under the name bacterium. RNAcentral's name for it is "tRNA-Leu". It matches the Rfam family "tRNA". Rfam says of the family: Transfer RNA (tRNA) molecules are approximately 80 nucleotides in length. The record is from RNAcentral.
GCCUCGGUGGCGGAAUUGGUAUACGCGUUGGACUUAAAAUCCAAUGCCUUCACUGGCUUGUGGGUUCGAGUCCCACCCGAGGCA